GUGAAGAACGUAGCGAAAUGCGAUAAGUAGUGUGAAUUGCAGAAUUCAGUGAAUCAUCGAAUCUUUGAACGCACAUUGCGCCCCUUGGUAUUCCAUGGGGCAUGCCUGUUCGAGCGUCAUUUGUACCUUCAAGCUCUGCUUGGUGUUGGGUGUUUGUCUCGCCUCUGCGUGUAGACUCGCCUUAAAACAAUUGGCAGCCGGCGUAUUGAUUUCGGAGCGCAGUACAUCUCGCGCUUUGCACUCAUAACGACGACGUCCAAAAGUACAUUUUUACACUCUUGACCUCGGAUCAGGUAGGGAUACCCGCUGAACUUAAGCAUAUCAAUAAGCGGAGGA
This 336-nucleotide unclassified non-coding RNA is filed under the name soil metagenome. RNAcentral's name for it is "partial contains 5.8S ribosomal RNA, internal transcribed spacer 2, and large subunit ribosomal RNA". The stretch from base 2 to 119 matches the Rfam family "5.8S ribosomal RNA", at positions 37 to 154 of the family's 154-position model. The record is from RNAcentral.